This is an RNA transcript of Eriocheir sinensis (Chinese mitten crab), 3274 nucleotides long. It is a transcript of the gene named gastrula zinc finger protein XlCGF49.1-like, with no coding region annotated. The transcript is spliced from 4 exons. Lineage: Eukaryota; Metazoa; Arthropoda; Malacostraca; Decapoda; Varunidae. The record is from RefSeq and is a predicted model, not a curated record.
GAACAACGGGGUCGGGGCGGCAUAAAAUGGGGGGGCCAGCCGCCAUAAGGGGCCCCGCACGCACGCACGCACAUACAAUCCCAGCAAGCGCCCCGCAGCCUGGCCCCGGGAAUAAGGGGCGCGGAACCUCGCACGGGUAUCGAACUGGGGUGAUCCUGGCCCCGGCGGCGGCGAAAUAAGGGGUGAGCGGCCUGAGCCGAGGCAGCGUGCGGCCCGCCAAGCCCCGGACCACCAAAACAAACAGCAGCAGACCCAAGCCCCGCGCUGCCGCCUUUCUCCCCGCUCCCCGGGCCUCAGCCUCCCCCGUGGCCCUGCAGCCCAGCGCCGGCACCCCAGGACCCCCCCCAUCCGGUACGCCGCCCCAGGGGUGCCCAGGGCACGCCGCAGCCGCCGAGAGCUCCGUUACAAGACAGCGGCGUUCAAAUUCGGAGUGCGCCGCUGAGCCAGUGUUGUGAGCCGUGCAUGACAUGAGCCAGGCCAGGGCCGGGCCUGAGAGCAGCAGCAGCAGCUAGUUUGUGGGCUUGGGCUAUGCCCUUUGGCGAUGGUGUGCUGAGCUGCCCCGCCCUGCCCCGCUGCCUGGCCUGACAACCCAAUCUAUGCCAGUCGGCCCUGCACCACCCCAUCCCUGAACCACGGGGGGCGCACACCACACCCUAGCCUACCCCCCCCAGCCACCCGAGCCCCCCCCCACCAUGGACCGCUACCCCAGCUGUCAGGAGAAGUACUACGAGUACGAGGAGUGGAACAAAGUCUUCAACCGGGACAAGGACGUCAACUACGUCAAGGAGGAGGAGCCCAACGCCCCGCGGGGCAAGAAGCUCUUCGAGUGCCCCGAGUGCAGCAAGUGGUUCAGCAGCAAGGGCAACCUGCAGCGCCACUGGAUCACCCACACGGGGGAGAAGCGCUACGAGUGCGAGGAGUGCAGCAAGCCGUUCGCGCAGAAGGGCCACCUCAAGGCACACAAGCUCAUGCACACCGGGGAGAAGAAUUUCGAGUGCGACGUGUGCGGCAACCGCUUCAUCAGCAAGGGCAACCUGCAGCGGCACAAGCUGACCCACACCGGGGAGAAGCGGUUUGCCUGCGAGGAGUGCGGGAAGCUGUUCAUCCAGAAGGGCCACCUCAAGACCCACAAACUGAUGCACUCCGGGGAGAAGCGGUUCGAGUGCGAGGAGUGCCGGAAGCGCUUCUCCAGCAAGGGCAACCUGCAGCGCCACCGCUUCACCCACACCGGGGAGAAGCGAUUCAAGUGCGAGGAGUGCGGCAAGCAGCUCACCCAGAAGAGCCACCUCAAGUCACACAAGCUCAUCCACUCCGGCGAGAAGAGCAACGAGUGCAACGAGUGUGGGGAAUACUUCAUCAGGAAAGCCGACCUCAAAUCCCACAAAAUAUCACACGACGCUCCAAGAAUCUUUCAACGAUGGUGAGGGGAUGGUGAAGGUGGUGCGCCCCAGCGGUGAGGAUGGUGGAGGUGAUGCGUCCGCCUCAAGACAGAUCUCUCCUCCUCCUCCUCCUCCUCCUCCUCUCUGACAGUAAUGGUGAUACUGAUGGUGAUGGUGAUGGUGGUGGUGGUGGUGGUUGGCUGCGACACACAUUGACAACACCAGCAGCCUCCGUGGUGAUGGUGGUGGUGAUGGUGACAGCCUCUCGCACCAAAUAUUGACUGAUAGUGAUGCGAUGGUGACCGUGAUGGUGACUCAAUGCCCAGACACCCUUCACCUUGUCCCCUUGUAUGGUGAAACGGUGCAUCAAACUCAAGGUGAUAGUGACUUGAUUGUGAAUGAUGGUGAUGGGAUGGUGACUCAACGCCCAGACACCCUUCACCUUGUCCCCUCGUAUGGUGAAAUGGUGCACUCAAGGUGAUGGUGAGCUCUUGAUAGAGAAUGAUGGUGACAAAGCACACCCUGACACUCAUCAACUUGUCCCUGUGUAUAGUGAGAUGAUGCGCAGGUGAUGGUGAGCUCUUGAUAGUGAAUGAUGAUAUAAUGAUGGUGAAACAGCUUGCACACAGAUGAUGGUGACAACAUAUUCACACCCCCUCCAAAAUGUCCUCUUGUAUAGUGAGGCACCAAGCACACACAUGAUGGUGAGUGCCUGAUAGUGACAUGGCAAUGAUGAUAGUGACAACACACCCCAACACCCUCCAACUUGUCCGCUUGUAUAGUGAGGCACCACAUAUACAAAUGAUAGUGACUGAUUGUGGUGCACUCACUGUCCUAUCACCACAGCCCUGAUAGUGAGUACAGUACGUCCAGAUAUGCUUCACCAUCACCCAAGAAUAGUGAGACAAGAGCUACACAAGAUGGUGAUGGUGGUGAUGGUGAACUCAAAAACGCCAAACAGCACUUUCAGAUACGUUCCACCAUCACUAUACGUCCAGAUACAGUUCACUAUCACCCCAAGAAUAGUGAGACAAGACCAUAAAACACAGAAGAUAGUGAGGUUAUGGUGAGCAAGCUAACACUACAUAACCUCCAAGAUACAUUUCACCAUCACUAUACGUCCAGAUACCUUUCACUAUCACCCCAAGAAUAGUGAAACAGGAUCAUAAAACACAAAAGAUGGUGAGGUUAUGGUGAGCAAGGAAGGGGACACCACACAGCAUCUCCAGAUAAGCUUCACCGUCACCCCAGGAAUAGUGAAACAAGACCAUAAAACACAAAAGAUGGUGAGGUUAUGGUGAGCAAGGCAGGAUACACCACACAGCACCACCAGAUAAGCUUCACUGUCACCCCAGGAAUAGUGAGAAGAUGGUGAGGGUGGUGGUGAUAGUGAACUCAACACCACACACUACCUCCAGUGAGCUCACUAUCACUCACUCACUCUCCCAGCUUGGUCAACUUCAUCUCCACCCCUGACUCAAGCUGAAACCAAGCUGGGGUUGAUCUAGGUCAUGUCUUUCAAGCGUAGGACCUGCCAGCCACAUCCACUCAAGCUGAAAUCCAAGCUGAGGUUGCUGCAGAUACUGUCUCCAUUACACAAGCUUAAAAAAAUAACAUAUCAGCUUGAAAAAUCCCUCCAGCCACAACCCAAGCUUGACUCACCCAAACCCAAGUCAAGCUAAAAUUCAAGCUGAGGUUGCUCCAGAUAGUGUCUCCAUAAUACAAGCUUGAAAAUACCAGAAAUCUAUCAGCUUGAAGAGUCCCCCACAGCCACACCCAAGCUUGAUUCACCCAAACCCAACUCAAGCUUGAUUCACCCAAACCCAACUCAAGCUUGACUCAUCACACACAACACAAGCUUGACUCACCACACACAACACAAGCUUGACUCACCA